UGGGGAAUUUUGGACAAUGGGCGAAAGCCUGAUCCAGCAAUGCCGCGUGUGUGAAGAAGGCCUUCGGGUUGUAAAGCACUUUUGUCCGGAAAGAAAUCCUCUGGGUUAAUACCUCGGGGGGAUGACGGUACCGGAAGAAUAAGCACCGGCUAACUACGUGCCAGCAGCCGCGGUAAUACGUAGGGUGCAAGCGUUAAUCGGAAUUACUGGGCGUAAAGCGUGCGCAGGCGGUUUUGUAAGACGGAUGUGAAAUCCCCGGGCUUAACCUGGGAACUGCAUUCGUGACUGCAAGGCUAGAGUAUGGCAGAGGGGGGUAGAAUUCCACGUGUAGCAGUGAAAUGCGUAGAGAUGUGGAGGAAUACCGAUGGCGAGGCGAGCCCCUGGCAAUACUGACGCUCAUGCACGAAAGCGUGGGGAGCAAACAGGAUUAGAUACCCUGGUAGUCCACGCCCUAAACGAUGUCAACUAGUUGUUGGGGAUUCAUUUCCUUAGUAACGUAGCUAACGCGUGAAGUUGACCGCCUGGGGAGUACGGUCGCAAGAUU
Molecule: ribosomal RNA, 544 nt
Filed under: uncultured bacterium
Lineage: Bacteria
Description: partial 16S ribosomal RNA
Rfam family: Bacterial small subunit ribosomal RNA
Source: RNAcentral